RNAcentral lists this ribosomal RNA (654 nucleotides) under bacterium. Its description in RNAcentral is "bacterial SSU rRNA". It matches the Rfam family "Bacterial small subunit ribosomal RNA", at positions 61 to 690 of the family's 1533-position model. The record is from RNAcentral.
GUCGAGCGAGGGAUUAUUGUAGAAGCUUGCUUCUAGACAUAAUCCUAGCGGCGGACGGGUGAGUAACACGUAGGCAACCUGCCCACAAGACAGGGAUAACUACCGGAAACGGUAGCUAAUACCCGAUACAUCCUUUUCCUGCAUGGGAGAAGGAGGAAAGGCGGAGCAAUCUGUCACUUGUGGAUGGGCCUGCGGCGCAUUAGCUAGUUGGUGGGGUAAUGGCCUACCAAGGCGACGAUGCGUAGCCGACCUGAGAGGGUGAUCGGCCACACUGGGACUGAGACACGGCCCAGACUCCUACGGGAGGCAGCAGUAGGGAAUCUUCCGCAAUGGGCGAAAGCCUGACGGAGCAACGCCGCGUGAGUGAUGAAGGUUUUCGGAUCGUAAAGCUCUGUUGCCAGGGAAGAACGUCUUGUAGAGUAACUGCUACAAGAGUGACGGUACCUGAGAAGAAAGCCCCGGCUAACUACGUGCCAGCAGCCGCGGUAAUACGUAGGGGGCAAGCGUUGUCCGGAAUUAUUGGGCGUAAAGCGCGCGCAGGCGGCUCUUUAAGUCUGGUGUUUAAUCCCGAGGCUCAACUUCGGGUCGCACUGGAAACUGGAGAGCUUGAGUGCAGACAGGAGAGUGAAAUUCCACGUGUAGCGGUGAAAUGCG